GUCUACAGCCAUGCCAUCCUGAACAAGCCCGAUCCCGUCUGAUCUCGGAAGCUAAGCAGGGUUGGGCCUGGUUAGUACUUGGAUGGGAGACCACCUAGGAAGACCAGAUGCUGCAGGCA
This 119-nucleotide ribosomal RNA is filed under the name Pteropus alecto (black flying fox). Lineage: Eukaryota; Metazoa; Chordata; Mammalia; Chiroptera; Pteropodidae. The record is from RNAcentral.